AGCUCUGGUGACCUUGUGGUUAGAGAGUCCGCCUCGGAUGUGGGAGGUCGCGGGUUCGAACCUUGGCCGAGUCA
Potamilus streckersoni is the source of this 74-nucleotide non-coding RNA. NCBI's taxonomy places the organism in Eukaryota, Metazoa, Mollusca, Bivalvia, Unionida, Unionidae. The record is from the annotation of a GenBank genome assembly.